AUCAAACCGAUAAUCAAGAGGAGUACGCAUCAUACCUAGUUUCCAGAGAGUCGCCGCCAGUGAGAGUGCGAUAGCUUAGGGGAUGCCGAAUGGACUUGAGAGGGUUGCCUUGAAAAGAGUAGGGGCAAACGGGGAACCUGAUCCGUUAACAGACAGGCGCAUAUGUUGGUAUGCGAACGAGUGGGCGGUUUUUAUCGUCAAUUUGGGUGGUAUCGCAGGAGAUUACAAGCUCUUGUCCCUUUU
Molecule: non-coding RNA, 243 nt
Filed under: Trichococcus sp.
Lineage: Bacteria; Bacillati; Bacillota; Bacilli; Lactobacillales; Carnobacteriaceae
Description: T-box sequence
Rfam family: T-box leader
About the family: Uncharged tRNA acts as the effector for transcription antitermination of genes in the T-box leader family. T-boxes are found upstream of many aminoacyl-tRNA synthetase genes and some amino acid biosynthetic genes usually in Gram-positive bacteria.
Source: RNAcentral